GGGGGGGGGGGGGGGGGGAGGGAGAAAUCAAAUAAAUAAAUAACCUCCGCACCAAUAAGAGAGGCAGCGGCUGCCGAGCAGUCUGGGAUCUGAUGGGAGAGGUCCUUCCUGGGCUGUAUUUGUUUGUUUGUGACUGGAGCUGCAAAGUUCAGAGCCAAACGUGUUGCUUUCCGGCGGCGGCGACCUCCCCGCUUCACCUGCUCCUCUGACGGGUGCCAGCCCGGGUCGGCCCCGCCGCUCUGCGGGCCCUCAGCCCGGCAUCCUGCCCGCCGCUGGGGCCGACGGACGGGAAAAAGAGCGCGGGGCUGUGUCUCUCUCCUUUCCCUCCACGGCUGCCGGAGGGACAGCGGACAGGUCCUCCAAGGGUUUGCCUUGCGGGGAGCCUGUGCCCGGCGGCAGCUUGCGAGAGCCCGGCAGCAGCCCCCAGAGGCACGUCUCCUCCUAGGAGGGAGAGAAACUUGCUGAUCCGGAGGAGGGACGGAUACGGCGCUUUCCCUUCGUUGCGCGGAAGGUGCGCGCUGGGGCGCCGGGUGGCUUUGACCGCCCCGCGGUGGCGGCCCCCCGGGGAAGGAGGAAGCGAGCGGGGCGCUGCGGGGCGCGGGCGCCCGGCAGGUGGAGCCGUGGGGAGCGGUGGCGGUGAUUUAUUUCGGCUUAAGCAGCGUUGCGAGCAGAGCCCCGUAGGCGCGGUGCGAAGUGGCCCGGUGCCCCUGAGCCCACACCUCGGCGGCCGGAAUGGGUCCGGGAUGGGUGGAUGCGGCGGGCAGUGCGCGGAGUGCGCCGGGCGGUGCGCGCCUUCCUGCGGCGGCUACAGCUGAAGACGGUGUCCUACGUCGUUAACGUUACCACUGGUCACACGCGUAUUUUAUCGACCAUUGAUCGUCUUUCUGUUUGUCACUGUGUGCUGGAAAUGAUGAGAUUCUAGGCGUAGUCUGUCUUAAUUAGCACAGAAUGUAUAAAAGCGUAAUUGCUAAAAUUAUUCAAUAGUGGUUAACAAUUAAAAGAUUAUCCCAGUACUCAGCAGCUAGCAAAGAGCAGACUGCACUAAUUGGAUAGUUAAUGACAUUUAAAUAGGCAGUCUUUCUUAAAAUAGUAAGCUCCACUCUUCCAGGGAAUUGAAUAGAGUGUUAGAAUAUUUAAUAAUUACAUUACAAUGAUGGUAACACUUCUGAAAGGUGUGUGGUUUGAGUUGUUAGUUGGGUAGCAGCACUGGGACAGCCUUUGCCCAGUUUUAGAGCACUGGUUAAGGGAAGACUGUAUUUUCCUCAAUUUUCCUUUGAUAGGUAAAUAUAGCUAAAUGCUGCAGAAAUUUGUGUGAAACCGAAGUGAAGGGGAGACAAUAUUUUGCAUAUUGUCCAGCGAAAUGUUCUUCCAUCUUCUACUGAUAUUAUUUGACUGAAUUGAUAAUUGAACUUGAGUUUUAUGCUACUAACCACCUAAUAUUUGAAUUUAAUGUCUCUUUAUGCCACUUAAACUGAUUGAAAAUAUUUACUGUUUAAUAUUGUGGAGACAGGAUAUCAGGUGGUGUAACUACACUCCUCUUGUCAUCCUUCAAUAACUAAACAGCUAAGGUAGUUGGGUUUUUUUGUAGUAAUAACUUUCUAGUGUAAACAGUGGACUUCAGUAACGAAAUGAUAAAUAAAUCAGCUUCUGUAGAGUUAAACUUUAUUUUCAAAACUCUUGGUUCUCCACAUUCCUCAUGUUUCUUACCUAACUUGAAAAUGUUUGAUGAGAAACUAAUGCAGUAACUUCAUAAACUUGUUGUAUUUUGUUGUAAAAGUUUUAGUAUAAUAAAGUUGGCAUAACAAGAGGCAACACAAUGUAAUCUUCUGCUUGUGAUAUAUUUUUCCAGAGACAAAAUGUUUCCCACUAUUUUAGUCAAAGACAUACUUAAGGAAAAUGCCAGAAAUUGAAUUAAAUAAGAGAUUACCUUCACAAAUUAAAUAGAAUAUUCUAUUUUAAGAACUACUGCAUAGAAUAACAUAUAAUUAAAAUUGUAAAGAAUGUAUGGGCUUUUAUAUACAUAUGCUUUAUGUAGUCUUAAGUUUUGUCACCAACAUAGUUUUGUGCUCCUUUGAGGGAUAAAUGAAGCGCUGGUCUAAAUACUAAAAGAGCUUGGAGUGUGUGUCUCCCAGGUUGGUGAAAAUGGUGAGCUUCACAAAAGUUAUAUUCGCAACUGUGAAACUAGUCUGUUUUCUUCUUGUAUUGGAUGCUGUAGUUGUCCCUAGGAAAUCCUUUUGUGUUGUAUCCCAACUUUGCUCUUUUCACUAUUAUAGAUACAUUUGUCAGACACUUCCUUUAUCCUUGCAUGCCAGGGUAUUCAAAUAUUUCUUACGAGCAUUGCUGCUGACUUCUGAAGUGAAUUCCAUUCUAUGCUGUCCAAAUGAGGGUUUCUAAAAAUUCAGAAUAAUAGAACUUUUGGAUUUUUCCUCAGUUUCUGUAAAAAUGUUAGCAUUAAAUGGUAUUUAAUGUUAACACUGCACUUCCUCCAGAACAAAAGUAUGACUUUCCACACAGCUGAUAAAUUGGUAGCUGAAUGUAUUAUCAGAGAUUUACAAAACACUGAUGUCUUGACAUCUGGAUUUGUUGUGUGUCUUUAAUAAAACAUGGACUGUGAGAAAA
Long non-coding RNA from Pipra filicauda (Wire-tailed manakin), 2619 nucleotides. RefSeq lists it as uncharacterized. The transcript has 2 exons. The record is from RefSeq and is a predicted model, not a curated record. Lineage: Eukaryota; Metazoa; Chordata; Aves; Passeriformes; Pipridae.